UACGUAGGGUGCAAGCGUUAAUCGGAAUUACUGGGCGUAAAGCGUGCGCAGGCGGUUGUGCAAGACCGAUGUGAAAUCCCCGGGCUUAACCUGGGAAUGGCAUUUGUGACUGCACGGCUAGAGUGUGUCAGAGGGGGGUAGAAUUCCACGUGUAGCAGUGAAAUGCGUAGAUAUGUGGAGGAAUACCGAUGGCGAAGGCAGCCCCCUGGGAUAACACUGACGCUCAUGCACGAAAGCGUGGGGAGCAAACAGG
This 253-nucleotide ribosomal RNA is filed under the name uncultured bacterium. Its description in RNAcentral is "partial 16S ribosomal RNA". It matches the Rfam family "Bacterial small subunit ribosomal RNA", at positions 524 to 776 of the family's 1533-position model. The record is from RNAcentral.